CCUACGGGUGGCUGCAGUGGGGAAUAUUGGACAAUGGGGGAACCCUGAUCCAGCCAUGCCGCGUGUGUGAAGAAGGCCCUCGGGUUGUAAAGCACUUUCAGUGAGGAAGAACGCCUGGUGGUUAAUACCCAUCAGGAAAGACAUCACUCACAGAAGAAGCACCGGCUAACUCCGUGCCAGCAGCCGCGGUAAUACGGAGGGUGCGAGCGUUAAUCGGAAUUACUGGGCGUAAAGCGCGCGUAGGUGGCUUGAUAAGCCGGUUGUGAAAGCCCCGGGCUCAACCUGGGAACGGCAUCCGGAACUGUCAAGCUAGAGUGCAGGAGAGGAAGGUAGAAUUCCCGGUGUAGCGGUGAAAUGCGUAGAGAUCGGGAGGAAUACCAGUGGCGAAGGCGGCCUUCUGGACUGACACUGACACUGAGGUGCGAAAGCGUGGGUAGCAAACAGGAUUAGAUACCCCGGUAGUC
Molecule: ribosomal RNA, 464 nt
Filed under: Vreelandella stevensii
Lineage: Bacteria; Pseudomonadati; Pseudomonadota; Gammaproteobacteria; Oceanospirillales; Halomonadaceae
Description: partial 16S ribosomal RNA
Rfam family: Bacterial small subunit ribosomal RNA
Source: RNAcentral